RNAcentral lists this long non-coding RNA (1126 nucleotides) under Mus musculus (house mouse). RNAcentral describes it as "predicted gene, 34030". The record is from RNAcentral. Lineage: Eukaryota; Metazoa; Chordata; Mammalia; Rodentia; Muridae.
GUAAAUUACCCGGCGCGCUGACGCUAUGCAGAAGCGCUCCGGGAUCCGACUGCGCCGCGGCGCGGAGGGGGCCGGCUAGAGGCUCCCAGUUCUUUGCCCCAGAUUUCCAUCAAGGUUGUUAGCUUCUCUGGACCUGGGGUUUCAAUGAGAAGGCGACUAAGCGAGCCCUAAUAAGAUGCCUGACAGGGGAAAGAAACAAAAAUAAAGCAAACAGAAAGAGAGAAAAGAUUUACCCUUUCUGAGCUGGGAGGUGAGCAAAGUACAGAGCCAAGAGAAAAAGCUAGCAAGGUCCGCAGAGGAAAGAAAGGGGGAGGAGGCUGCGAGGCACGGACUUCGAAGCUCUCGAGAGCCUAGGCCGCCACUUGGGAGGUCCCGGCCUCAGUCUGGCCAGGCCAACCACAUCCCCGGGAGGAUCGGAGCUAGGGCGGGUCACAAUUACACCUCGGCUCCAGGCGAGGGCUUAAAACCCAAGUGGUGGGGACCGAAGUCUGGAAGCAAGGCCCCCGCGGUCAUGGGGUGGGGGAGGCAGGCCCGUGCACAGGAACCUUUUUACAAGACAUGUGGGUACAAGAAAACAAAAUCAAAAUAAACUCCUUUCAUCCACCACGGCCAAAGAAAACAAAAGCUGUCUUGUAGAGGAGCCCAGAGCUGGCCAGAGUAGCUCUUCCGGAGAAGGACCGAAGGGCCGGGAAAAGGGAAGAAUCUCCAUCUCCGUUGCUUCUGCAGAGCAAAGGGUGCUUGGCUCCUGCAGACUCCCUCCCAUUCUCUACCGGCACCGACCUCAACGACGACACGACCUGGAUGAAUGGAGUAUCCGGAGAAGGUUUUUGAAGACGUUUAGGAGGAAGGGUGAGUUUUCUGUUGAGAAACUCAAUCUGCCAUACAGUAGCGGGCCCCAUCUGGGAUCUGUCACUGCUGACAGCACCACAGGGCACAGCCGUGAUCUUCUGCACAGCCUGCACUCCUCGAAAUACCCUCCUUAAUCAAAGGAUGUCUGCGCGCCGGCGCUCAGCUGACCGCGCCAAAGCAGAGAGGCCUAAGAGUUCCACCCCUCCCGCCCCCUCCCCAGGCUCACAACCUCCCCCAACCCUGUCUUUCCAGAGCAUUAAUUAAAAGCGGAAAAAAG